UACGAAGGGGGCUAGCGUUGCUCGGAAUCACUGGGCGUAAAGGGUGCGUAGGCGGGUCUUAAGUCAGGGGUGAAAUCCUGGAGCUCAACUCCAGAACUGCCUUUGAUACUGAGGAUCUUGAGUUCGGGAGAGGUGAGUGGAACUGCGAGUGUAGAGGUGAAAUUCGUAGAUAUUCGCAAGAACACCAGUGGCGAAGGCGGCUCACUGGCCCGAUACUGACGCUGAUGCACGAAAGCGUGGGGAGCAAACAGG
RNAcentral lists this ribosomal RNA (252 nucleotides) under uncultured bacterium. RNAcentral's name for it is "partial 16S ribosomal RNA". It matches the Rfam family "Bacterial small subunit ribosomal RNA", at positions 524 to 776 of the family's 1533-position model. The record is from RNAcentral.